ACAAUGGUCAUAAGCUGAAGACAGUAAACCAGGUACCAAGAACCAAGCCUAGAUCAAGAGCUGGGAGUCUGGGAUGAAAGCAAGUCACAGCAAGGAGUGGUCCAGUGAAGGUUUUGGCUGAAGGGUCUGGGCUACCUUUGCGUCUAUAACAUUGUCGGGGGCAGCAGAGUCACUCAUGGAUAACUGCAGGGGAACUGACUCGAUCCCUCUAGGCUAUGUAACUGAAGUGAAAUCUGGUGGCAGCUCCAAUCCCUCUGGUAGCUUUGAUUCCUGUGGGAGGAUCCUGCUCCCCAUCCCUCCUAGCAGAGGUAACUAGACAAGGUCCUUCAUGUUUCCAGCUACUUUUACCAGACUCCAGGCUGCUCUUUACACUGAGGAGCAUGAAGGCAUUUAAAAGCAAUCAAAAACAAGGAGAAGCCAGCAUCAUGUCACUUACCAGCUAUUGUAGACUCCCAGGAAAUGAUCUACA
Long non-coding RNA from Mauremys mutica (yellowpond turtle), 469 nucleotides. RefSeq lists it as uncharacterized. NCBI's taxonomy places the organism in Eukaryota, Metazoa, Chordata, Testudines, Geoemydidae. The record is from RefSeq and is a predicted model, not a curated record. The transcript has 3 exons.